Xenia sp. Carnegie-2017 is the source of this 278-nucleotide long non-coding RNA. RefSeq lists it as uncharacterized. The record is from RefSeq and is a predicted model, not a curated record. The transcript is spliced from 3 exons. NCBI's taxonomy places the organism in Eukaryota, Metazoa, Cnidaria, Anthozoa, Malacalcyonacea, Xeniidae.
CCGUCACCACCACAACCAGCAGAAUGCCAUGUCGAGCGUGGGCAGAACAGGAAACCCAUAAAGGUUACCAAGUUCAUGAUGCACAGUAUUCUGCUGUUAAUGAAGAACAAAAAAUUGCUUCAAUUCAAGCAGAGAAAAAUAAAGAUUAACGAAAUUUCAACAUGACGUGAGAGAAAGAAUAAAAGCACGAAAAAAUGAAGAAACUCCAGCAAUUGGACAAAUCAUAUGAAGUGGUGUCCACUCAACAGAAAGUAAUUCACCAAAGCUCAUUUCCAAAA